Molecule: unclassified non-coding RNA, 124 nt
Filed under: Spongillida sp. SNSB-BSPG.GW2357
Lineage: Eukaryota; Metazoa; Porifera; Demospongiae; Spongillida
Description: sequence contains 5.8S rRNA gene, ITS2
Source: RNAcentral
GCGUCCGUUUCGUUUCAGUCGAUCCCGAACAUCGCNNNNACGGCGAGUUGAGGUGUCGUUCCGCGAGGGGCGUCCCUUSAGUGCGCCCCCCCCCCCCCCCCCCCCCCCCCCCCCCCCCCCCCCC